UCCCUGGUGGUCCAGUGGUUAAGACCCUGAGCUCCCAAGGCAGGGGGCCUGGGUUCAAUCCCUGUUAGGGAG
Molecule: transfer RNA, 72 nt
Filed under: Ovis aries (sheep)
Lineage: Eukaryota; Metazoa; Chordata; Mammalia; Artiodactyla; Bovidae
Rfam family: tRNA
About the family: Transfer RNA (tRNA) molecules are approximately 80 nucleotides in length. Their secondary structure includes four short double-helical elements and three loops (D, anti-codon, and T loops).
Source: Rfam by way of RNAcentral